RNAcentral lists this ribosomal RNA (506 nucleotides) under uncultured bacterium. RNAcentral describes it as "bacterial SSU rRNA". It matches the Rfam family "Bacterial small subunit ribosomal RNA", at positions 8 to 526 of the family's 1533-position model. The record is from RNAcentral.
AGAGUUUGAUCAUGGCUCAGGAUGAACGCUAGCGGCAGGCUUAAUACAUGCAAGUCGAGGGGGCAGCAAUGUCAUCGGCGAACGGGUGCGUAACGCGUAUGCAACCUGGCCAUAUCAGGGGGAUAGCCCUAGGAAACUGGGAUUAAUACCGCAUAAUACUUUGUCUGGCAUCAGGUGAAGUUGAAAGAUUUAUUGGAUAUGGAUGGGCAUGCGUAGGAUUAGCUAGUUGGUGAGGUAACGGCUCACCAAGGCGAUGAUCCUUAGGGGCUCUGAGAGGAGUAUCCCCCACACUGGCACUGAGAUACGGGCCAGACUCCUACGGGAGGCAGCAGUAGGGAAUAUUGGGCAAUGGAGGCAACUCUGACCCAGCCAUGCCGCGUGCAGGAAGACGGUCCUCUGGAUUGUAAACUGCUUUUGAAUGGGAAGAACACUAGCUUUGCGAAGCUAAUUGACGGUACUAUUAGAAUAAGCACCGGCUAACUCCGUGCCAGCCGCCGCGGUAAUAC